UACGUAGGGGGCAAGCGUUGUCCGGAAUCAUUGGGCGUAAAGAGCGUGUAGGCGGCCCGGUAAGUCCGCUGUGAAAGUCCAGGGCUCAACCCUGGGAUGCCGGUGGAUACUGUCGGGCUCGAGUCCGGAAGAGGAGUGUGGAAUUCCUGGUGUAGCGGUGAAAUGCGCAGAUAUCAGGAGGAACACCGAUGGCGAAGGCAGGUCUCUGGGCCACUACUGACGCUGAGAAGCGAAAGCAUGGGGAGCGAACAGG
RNAcentral lists this ribosomal RNA (253 nucleotides) under uncultured bacterium. RNAcentral describes it as "partial 16S ribosomal RNA". It matches the Rfam family "Bacterial small subunit ribosomal RNA", at positions 524 to 776 of the family's 1533-position model. The record is from RNAcentral.